RNAcentral lists this ribosomal RNA (403 nucleotides) under uncultured bacterium. RNAcentral's name for it is "partial 16S ribosomal RNA". It matches the Rfam family "Bacterial small subunit ribosomal RNA", at positions 28 to 526 of the family's 1533-position model. The record is from RNAcentral.
GACGAACGCUGGCGGCGUGCCUAAUACAUGCAAGUCGAACGCAGUGGGGACGGGUGAGUAACACGUGGGUAACCUCCCAUCAGAGGGGAUAACACUUGGAAACAGGUGCUAAACCGAUACUGAUGGAUGGACCUGCGGUGCAUUCGCUCGGUGGUGUGGUAAAGGCUCACCAAGGCCACGAUGCAUAGCCGACCUGAGGGGGGGAGCGGCCACACUGGGACUGAGACACGGCCCAGAUGCCGACGGUAGGCAGCAGUAGGGAAUUUUCGGCAAUGGACGAAAGUCUGACAGAGCAACGCCGCGUGAGUGAAGAAGGUUUUCGGAUCGUAAACCUCUGUUGUUAGAGAAGCGGUAUCUAACCAGAAAGCCACGGCUAACUACGUGCCAGCAGCCGCGGUAAUUC